GUGAAUGAUGAAGGUCUUAGGAUUGUAAAAUUCUUUCACCGGGGGAAGAUAAUGACGGUACCCGGAGAAGAAGCCCCGGCUAACUUCGUGCCAGCAGCCGCGGUAAUACGAAGGGGGCUAGCGUUGCUCGGAUUUACUGGGCGUAAAGGGCGCGUAGGCGGACAGUUUAGUCAGAGGUGAAAGCCCGGGGCUCAACCCCGGAAUUGCCUUUGAUACUGGCUGUCUUGAGUUUUGGGAGAGGUAUGCGGAACUCCGAGUGUAGAGGUGAAAUUCGUAGAUAUUCGGAAGAACACCAGUGGCGAAGGCGGCAUACUGGCCCAAUACUGACGCUGAGGCGCGAAAGCGUGGGGAGCAAACAGGAUUAGAUACCCUGGUAGUCCACGCCGUAAACGAUGAUUGCUAGUUGUCGGCACGCAUGCGUGUCGGUGACGCAGCUAACGCAUUAAGCAAUCCGCCUGGGGAGUACGGUCGCAAGAUUAAAACUCAAAGGAAUUGAC
This 497-nucleotide ribosomal RNA is filed under the name uncultured bacterium. Its description in RNAcentral is "bacterial SSU rRNA". It matches the Rfam family "Bacterial small subunit ribosomal RNA", at positions 401 to 914 of the family's 1533-position model. The record is from RNAcentral.